Molecule: ribosomal RNA, 450 nt
Filed under: uncultured bacterium
Lineage: Bacteria
Description: bacterial SSU rRNA
Rfam family: Bacterial small subunit ribosomal RNA
Source: RNAcentral
CCCAGACUCCUACGGGAGGCAGCAGUGGGGAAUAUUGGGCAAUGGGCGCAAGCCUGACCCAGCAACGCCGCGUGAAGGAAGAAGGCUUUCGGGUUGUAAACUUCUUUUCUCAGGGACGAAGAAAGUGACGGUACCUGAGGAAUAAGCCACGGCUAACUACGUGCCAGCAGCCGCGGUAAUACGGAGGAUGCGAGCGUUAUCCGGAUUUAUUGGGUUUAAAGGGUGCGUAGGCGGGCUGUUAAGUCAGCGGUAAAAUGUCGGGGCCCAACCCCGGCCUGCCGUUGAAACUGGCGGCCUCGAGUGGGCGAGAAGUAUGCGGAAUGCGUGGUGUAGCGGUGAAAUGCAUAGAUAUCACGCAGAACUCCGAUUGCGAAGGCAGCAUACCGGCGCCCUACUGACGCUGAGGCACGAAAGCGUGGGGAUCGAACAGGAUUAGAUACCCCGGUAAAA